CCGCCUGGGGAGUACUGGCCGCAAGGCUGGAAACUUAAAGGAAUUGCUGGGGGGUAGCAACCACCAGGCGUGAAGCCUGCGGUUUAAUUGGAGUCAACGCCGGAAAUCUUACCGGGAUCGACAGGCAGAAUGAAGGCCAGGUUGAAGGUCUUGCUAGACGAGCUGAGAGGAGGUGCAUGGCCAUCGCCAGUUCGUGCCGUGAGGUGUCCUUUAAGUGAGGUAACGAACGAGACCCCCACCCCAUGUUGCCAUCAGGAUUAAAGGAUCGCUGGGCACUCUUGGGGGACCGCUGCCGACAAGGCUGAGGAAGGUGGGGGCCACGGUAGGUCAGUAUGCCCCGAAUAUCCCGGGCCACACGCGGGCUGCAAUGGUAGGGACAGAGGGCUGCAACACCGAGAGGUGGAGCCAAUCCCUAAACCUACCUCAGUUGGGAUCGAGGGCUGCAACCCGCCCUCGUGAACAUGGAAUGCCUAGUAACCGCACGUCAUCAUCGUGCAGU
Molecule: ribosomal RNA, 499 nt
Filed under: uncultured archaeon
Lineage: Archaea
Description: bacterial SSU rRNA
Rfam family: Archaeal small subunit ribosomal RNA
Source: RNAcentral